Molecule: long non-coding RNA, 1603 nt
Filed under: Sus scrofa (pig)
Lineage: Eukaryota; Metazoa; Chordata; Mammalia; Artiodactyla; Suidae
Description: lncRNA (ENSSSCG00025077557.1)
Source: RNAcentral
AUGGGUGACCUCUGGGCUACCCAGGGAAGUGAGGCACCCCCCACCCCCACCCAUGACAGAGGGGCAGGUGGACUGGGCCGGGGGCUCUUGUCCCUGGUUGAACAGCAGGUCCAACACGACAGCUUUCCCAAGGGGGCCACUGUGCAGGCCUGUGCCCAUGGACCUCCCACAGGGUGUUGCUUCUGCUGUCACGGCCGCUGCCUGGCCCCGAAGGCGAGUCAGCCUCCAGCCACAGCCGCACACCCGCAGAGGAACCGAGCAAGGAGGCGGCCGGGAGGGAGCCUGGAGCCUGUCUGGGAAGCCCAUAUUCUAGAACAGCCCAGGAGCCCAGUGUCAGCAGUGAGACCCAGGCCGGACACCGGGGCACAUGUGUGGUUGUGUCUGCGUGCGUAUUUGUGUGGUUCUCCGCAUAUGUGUGUGCGUGUCUGUGGGGGGUGUGUGUUCCCCAUCUCAGAUCUAGCUGCUCGCCGAUCUGAAACCUGGAAGCCGUGGGUGGCCCAAAGGGCAGUUGCUUCCAUCAGAGCCCGGCAGUCGGUGGACGGCGGAUGCAGCGUCCCCCCAAACCGCCUCCAAAGACUCUGCUGGGCCACGAGAACUUUUUAAGAGGAAAAAGGGACGCGACCUCGGGGGACCACGGAGACAGGGGUCAGGGUCCGGCCAUCCCCACCAGGCUGGUCACUCCUCGUGCUCUUGCUUCAGAUGCUGUCUGUUCACGCAGUUGUUCGGAGCUUCUCGAAGGGGAGGCGGGGCAGGGACCGUCCUUAAUUACGAAUAUGCUUCGUUUCCACUUUGAGUCACACUAGGAACCAGCAGGCCAGGCAAGGUCUUGCGUGAUCAAAAGAUUUGAAAGCCCUGCCAGGACCAGAGACGGGUGGAGCCUUGGGGCGCCUGGUGUAAGGUUAGUGACCGGACCAAAGCCCUCCUGGAGAGAGCCCUUUCCUGCCAAAGCCUGCCCACACGUGUGUAUGUGGGUGUGUGUGCGUGCAUGUGUGUGUGUGUGUGUGUGUGUGCGCGUGUGUGUGUGUGUGUGUGUGUGUAGGGAAGCCCUCUCCAGGGGAGGGCUCAGAGGCAGGUCCCCCCUCAGGCCCCCCGCUGCUCUGGUGGGCAGAGUUGGGCAUUGGGGACCUGGGUCCUCGGCUGAUUGUGCCUCUACCUCGGGGUGGGGGGUGCAAAGCAGGUGCCCAGACUCCCCCCACCCCUCCUGCUACGUGCUCACUGUCCAGAGAGGAGGUGGCCUCCAGAGGCUUCGUGGGGAGGGGUCUCGUGACCUCCCUCUGUCUACGUUUCACUCAGUCCUGCCAGUGCCACCCCUGUGAGCUGCCCCAGCUGCCCCGGGAGCAGGCGUGCCCAGGGAGAGGGGGGCUUCUGGGUGGGCAACCAGCCCUGCUUGCCCUACGUGUGCCCGAGGUGCUCCUGUCCACACCCGCCACCUCCCUCGUAUCGGUGGUCCUAGAAACACCCAGCAGGGGGCCUGAUCUGGAAAAGCCAGACCCUCAUCUGGUGUCAGGUGCUACCAAGGACACCUGUGUGACGCACGCGCGCCACCCACGUGCCUGAGGAGUGGCGCUCCGACCUGGGGAGCGCGUGCCUGGUUUUGGGACGG